GUUGAGCAUUUUUAAUAAUUCAAGCAUCUCAUCCCAACCACAUUUCUUAACCUCUGGAGUCGGGGAAAUGGCAGUACAUUGUUGCUUUAAUGAUGCUAUGUUAGUUGGUCAGUCAAAUUAAUGAUUUGUAUUAAAACCUAUGCAGAACCAUGUGGUGGCAGUGGAAAAUUGGGUGUUGUGCCGCAUAUUUUUGAAGAAAAGAAGUGGUGCUACUAAAAGAGAGGAUGACGGCCUGCAAUGUUGCAACGAGAAGGGAGUUGGUAAAGCAAGGAGAAAGAGCCCUGUUUUCUAUGAAUUCCUGAGCAAGGAGAGGACAGACCUAUAUCUUGCCCCAGCAUCCUCCUCAUCUUGCUCCAGUGGGAUCACACAGGUGUCAAAUGAUAACGCGGAUGACCAUGAAGAAAGCAGCAGUUGCAAUAGUUUUCCUUAUUUUAGAAGAAAACCUUAAAAAAAGCCACACUCACACUUUUGUUUUCUUGUCUAUAUCAGUAGUGGGGCUUUGAGUAGCCCUUCAGAAUAAUAACCUCUUUAAAGAAAAAGCAAUCAAGUGUUUGGUAAUUUCAAGUCUUUGGGUCUCUUUUGUCUGUGAUUACUACGCAGCAGAAAUAGUUGUCAGUAGAAACCCCAAAAAAAAUUUAUUAAAGGAAACAAUAUAUGGUUGUGCAUGCAGUAACUAUUACCUAAAGAGCAAACUUUCUUGGGCACAUGGCGGUUCCCCUUGUAAUUAAUGAAAAGCUAAAGACAUAUUACCCUCUUUUUUUAUACAUUUUACAAAAGUCAUCGUGAAACGGGCUAUGGUUCAAGUUCAACAUUAUGAACACGCAGAGCAAAGUCCCUUUAGGAAAAGGCAAAUGGUUUUGAGAGAAGAAAAAUGCAUGCAAAUCUCAGGAAAGAUAAAAAGUCUAGGAGAAUAUUUGAUGCACUAUUAAUGUAUAAAAUUUAUGCAAUAAAAAAGUAAUAAAUCUUUUCUAUAUUUAAGUAUUUUGACUUUGGCAAAAGCAAAACGCUUUUUGGGAGAGCACCGGAAAGAAUAAGCAUAGGAUUGUUGGAAAUCAGCAUUUGCACGAUCCAAGCUCCGGGAAGGGUGUUAUCGGUUGAAAAAGAACCCAAUUCUCCUCUCUAUUAUUUCAUAAUGGAUCGAAUCUCCAAAAACUCUGAGCUGGCUUCAUAUUCUUAUCUUCCCAUAUACUCCAUCUAGUAUAAUGGGUUUAUAAAAAAUGAAAAGCAUCAAUUUCUAUAGUUAGAAGCAGACAUUCUGAGCUUGAUUUUCUCAGCACUUGUAACUACUGUCGCAUACUCAAAUAAAAUAUAUAUAAAAAAAAUACACGAAAAAGAGUAGUCUGAGGUUGUAAGAAAAACAGGGUAAUCUAAUUUCGGAAUAAACAUGACAUGACUAGUAGGUGGGAGAUGGAGGAGUUCGACCGACGGUCCAAUCCAACUGUCCUCCCUAAUCCUCCAUCUCCCUCUUAUUACCUUUUAGUUGUGGGUUAGCAUAUGAUAUUUUGGGGCACUCUUGCGAACAUUAUGCUGUUAAUCAUCCUCGGUCAUAUUACAAUUUAUGAAGUAUUCCUUGAACGUAAAGAAAACGUAAGUAAUUGAACACCCUUUUUCUAGUUUCUAUAUCUACCCUUCACGCAUUUCAAAUUCUUGUUUCUCAAGUCCAGCCCAUAUAGCAAGCCAACAGCGUAAGGGUGGGGGGUUUUAACAAUAUCACUGUCCACCUAGCCCUGCAGUUUGGCUCUAUUAACAAACAAUAUACAUAGUUGACAUUAACAUACAAUGUCAAGUUAAUCUCAGUUUGUUAGAUUUAAUCUGAAUUGUAUCAGUUCUUAGUCCAUAUGUCCUGUGAUAUUUUGAUAAUUAUUCAAACAAUUUAUUUGUAAUGAUUUAAUAUUUGUAAAAAACAUAGAAUGCACACCUUAAUUCUUAGUAUUUACAUCAUUAUUAGUUAUGAAUAAAGGGGGUUUAAGGUUGGUCACAACUUACAAGGACGUGAUAUCAUAAACCUGAGAGGUUAAAAAGUGGGACAUGGAGCAUUACAUAAUUGACAAGUAGAUGCGAGAUAGACUUAAGGCGGCAGACAUACACCUUAAUAAAUAAAAAUAUGCCGACCAGAGUUUCGUAUGACCAUGGUUUUACAAUUAGCUCUAGCUGGUGGAGUUCUUUACGUCAUUUUUGUAUACGAAAAUGUUUUAUUUUAAUGAGAAAAAAGAGAAAAGAGAUUAAGCCAAAUAUUGAACAAAACCAUGUUGCUGUAAGAAAAACAAAUGCUGAAGCCAAAGAACAUAAUUUAUUUUGGGAGAGAUUAAAAUAAAGAGAGGUUAGCACAAAGAGCCAUUUCCCACUUAACAUCAUAUUUUACUAAAAACACAAUAAUUGCAGCCUUUGACUCUGUACAAAAGGAAAAAAAUAUAUAAUAAAAAGGCAAAGCAAAAGAAAGAAAAUGGAAGUUUGGGUCACGAAACCCAACUUUUCUUUCCAUACUAAUUUUUUAUACAAGUGAGGUGGGAGAGCAUUUGCUUGUGGGAAUCUCUUUUUUUCCUUAUAAUAUAUUAUCUGAAAACAUAAAUUAAAUUAUCAAAUUUCCAAUUCAAUACUAUAAAUUUGUGGGAAUGGAGUUUUCCCUUCUCCCUACGGAACCAGGCUUUGUCUAUGUUUGAGGCUCCGGUUUCACUUCAACUGUCCCACCCUUACCCUCUUGCUCCUUUCUUUUCCCUAAAUUAACCUCACACUUUUUUCAAUACUUCAAUACUGCCAUAUCUUUCUCACUAAUAAUAAUACAAGUUAUAAUUACUUGUACAAUUAUAAUUCAAUAUUAUUCAUUACAUUAUCCACCUUGAGAAUUAAUUUUAUCAUGGUAUACCUAUAAGUAAAUCCAUACAUAUCAUCCCAUAUAUAUUUGAUUAUCGACUAAAUUUAAAGCAUGGCAAAGUUGAAAUUAAAUUAUAUAUUUUUAUAAAAAUUAAAAUGUAAUUUUAUAAUUUUAAUAGUUUAUAUUUUUAUAAUAUUUAAAAGAUUAAAUCAAAAUUUAUUAUUUUUGGGGGUAAAGUGGAAUUUUAUCAUUUACUAAAUUAAAAUGUUAUAAAUUUUGAAAGGUCAAAAGUGAAUUUUUCCGUUUUAGGGGACCAAAGGCCUUACCAACUUCAGUGCUAUUUCUUUAUAUAUUUUAAAAAUUAUUAUUUAAUACAUUGACGGUGAAAUUUUUUAUCUUCAGAAUGUCCACAAAACAACCACCUAUCUUUAAUUGAUAUUUUAAGAAAAAAAAACUAAAUAAAUAAAACACAAGUCAAUUUUUUAACACUAUUUAUAAAAUGGAAAAACUUUACCACCCAUUUAUUAAAAUAAUUAUCCAUAGUUUGAGUUAAAUAAUAUGAUAACCAUAUAAUUUUAGUUAAAGAAAUGGAUUCUCUCUGUGAAAGCAAUGGGAAAGGGAAUCUCCUUAGUGAUCCGAGCGCCAAAAAGGUUUGUUUCAAGGAUUCGGAGUCUAAUAUAGACAUCGAGGUGGUUGUUGAAUUAAUGCCAUCACCAACCUUGUCCUGGAAAGACAUGGUCCUGGGGAAAGGUUUUAUUGAAUCAAAAAGGGUGAGCGAAGUUGGCUUUACUGAUGGGAAUUUCUCUAUUCUUGAAGGCGAUAUCAAGAAGUCGGUGGUUAACAGUAUCGCCGCUAUUGUUUUUUCGGAUAGAGUACACAAACUAUUAGUCAAUGACAUGUCUACCUCCGUAGUUAUUAAGCUGUUGGAGAGGAAUAUUGAUUGGUUGUGAGGCUCUGCAAAAUAAGGUUUAUGGACUAUGGAGACCGUCUCAACCUUUUCAACUAAUGGAUAUAGAAAAAGGCCAUUUCUUAGCCAAGUUCCAAAAUUUUGAUGAUUAUGAGAAGGUUCUAUCAUAGGGACUUUAGCUUAUCUUCAGGCAAUAUCUAACAGUACAACCCUGGACAAUUGAAUUUAAUCUUGCAAAUUAUUAUCCUAGUAUUGUUCUUGCCUAGAUUAGAUUCCCAAGACUUCCUAGCUAUCUCUAUAAAAAGGAGGUUUUAUGAGAAAUUGGGAGAAUGGUUAGGAAGGUGACCAAAUUGGAUUUCAAUACAUAUAGUAGAACGAGAAGAAGAUAUGCACGAAUAGAAGUUUAUAUCAAUCUGGAAAAAUCAUUUAUUUCAAAAGUUGUAAUAAAUGAGAAUCUGCAACAUAUUGAGUAUAAAAGUGAAACAGUCCGUUUUCAUUGAACUCAGAACAGUGGUUUCGAGACCACAAAUUUGAAGUAAAAAAAUUAUAUUAUUAUUAUUUUAUGUUCUAUUGUAUGAUAAAAAUACAGUAUAAAAAUUUCGUUAAGAAAUUUUAUCGUUUACAUGCCUAAUUUGAUGAAAAGGACUAAAUUGCAUUAAGUGCAAAAGUUGAGUUCUAAUAGCUAGAGGUAUUAAAUAGCUAUAGAAUUUGAAAUUUGAGGUCUUUAUAUAGUAAAUAUACCAUUAAAAUGCUUAAUGGUUAAGCAUGAGUAGUCAUCAUUGAAAAUUUAAUAAAUUGUUAAGGGUAAUUUUGAAAAUUAAUGGGUAAAGUGAUAUUAAAUAAAAUAAAAAAAAAUCUAUUAUCAUCAUCUACCACCAAAAUAAAAAAUAAAAAAAGAGAAAACAUAUCCAUGGAAGCUUAAGAUAUUAGCAAGCUUAUUUGGCUCAAUUAGGUAUGUAUCAUUGUCCCCUUUUUUAUGAUUUUUAUGUUUCGAGAUCGUAAUAUCUUAAUCUAGCUAACUCGGGGAUUAAUUUACAAAACCAUUAAAGUAUUAGAGUUUUUUCAUUGAUGACUAUGCUUGAAUUUUGAAGCUUUAUGAUAGAAAAUGAAAUAUUGUUGUUAGAUAAACAACUUUUUUAAAGAGAAUUUUGAUGAAAUUAUCAAUUAAUGAUUAAAAUGAAAAAGAUGAUAAAUUUAUGGUAAAAUUGUGAAUUUUUAUGAAAUAUAUGCGCUGCUAUUAAUAGGUGUAAAAAUCGGCUACGCUUAAGUAAGGAUUAAAUUGUGUGAAUUCCAUUUUUCGAGCCUAGGGACUAAAUUACAAUGAAUUAAAAGUAUAUGGGUAACAUAGUAAUUUUUUCCAAAAAUGUGUGUUGGACUAAAUUGAAUAUGAACUAUAUUUAAUUGAGUUAAAUUCAUUCGUAUAGAUCCGGUAAGACCUAGUACAGAGUUAGAUCGAGGCAAAGGAAAAAUAUUGGAUUAGUCGCCUUCGUAUCUACAUAAACUCAUCGAGAUAAGUUCGUAUAAUUAAAUUGUACAUUAAUAUGUGUUAAAUUGAAUCAUUGUUUGUGAAUUGUACAAUUGUCAUGAAUAAAUACCGGUUGUAUAUUCAACGAUUACUGAGUCUCGUUUGAACCUUAUGAAAUUCGUAGAAUACAAAUAACAUGUCAUUAGGGUUACCGAUUUGGUUGGGGUCUUGCAUGUGUUGCGGACACACCACAGCUUGCAUGAGCUUCCCGUUAUUCAGCUCAAAUGAGUUUACUAUUUACAGCUUGUAUGAGCAUACAUGAAUAUGAACUGACGGAUUAUAGUUCAGUGCACCUCGUAUGUAUUCCCCGUGUAUCCAACAAUAUUUUAAAUGGUUCAUCAGGCACAGUUCUGUUAUGAAAUCAUAUAAGUUUGAUAUGAACUAUUACCAAUAUAUACAUUAAAUACAUUAAAUAUGAUUAUUUAAUGAAUUCCACCAUGUGUGUUGGAUUUUAUAUGUGAUUUUCAUGGCUAAUAUGUUGGUGAUCAUAUGUUUAGGCUUUUGGCCAAAUUGAUUGAGAUAUGAUAUGUUUACUUGCUUAUUUUGUGGAAAUAUGGUAAGUUAAAUUCUAUAUUAUACGAACUUACUAAGCUUAAAUGCUUACUCUGUGUUAUUUUUCAUGUUUUAUAGUAAUUCAAAAGCUCAUUUAGGUUGGAAGCUUGUCGGAGCUAUUUCACACUAUCCAUGGGCUCUUUUGGUACUUUCAGUAAAUUAAUUCUGGUUAUAAUGACAUGUGUAGGAUAUUUAGGCCAAUGAUGGUAUAUAAAUGUUUUGUUGAGAUAAGCCAUUUGAAUGGCUUGUGUUUGAUAUACUUCGAUGUGUUUAUAUAUGUGGCCUUAACAUAUUUAAUGUGUGUUUGAUAUGGUUGAAUGAUGGAAAACUUAUAGGUAUAUUGAUGAUUGGUUUGAAAUAGUAUAUUUGGUACAAUUAUGUAUACAUUCAUUUGGUUAUCUAGAUAAAUAUGGAUAUUGGUUGUAUGUUGUGAUAAUACAUGUUUAAGACUUGAUUUUAGCUUGAUUUGAAUGCCUUGUUAUGGCUUGUUGAUAUGCGAAUUGUUGUGUUUAGGUUGGUACCAAAUUGGGUGAGAAAUGUGGCUUGGAAAUGGCCUAUUUUUGUCCACAUGGGUAGAGACACGGGUGUCUGUCUCAGUCGUGUAUGACACACGCCUGUAUAUCCUCUGUAUCUUUUAAAUUGCGCAAGUCAAUAUGCUUAACACGGCCUAGCACAAGGGCGUGUGACUUGGUGUAUGGCCCAAGUCAAGGAGUUACACAGGCACAGAUACGGGCUGGGACACAGUCGUAUGUCCCUAUUUUGAAUGCCCACACAGCUCUGUGUCCCCUGCAACUUUGAAAAAUUUUAAUGUUUUUUGAAAAAGAAUUUAAUACCCAAUCUAGUCCCGACUUAUUUCUAACAUGUAUUUUGGGCCUCAAGGGCUCAUAUAAGGAACAAUAUGUUAGAUUUCGAUUUAUUUCUGAUAUGAAUGUUAUAUUAUAUGAAAUGUUUAAUUAAUUGAUCUGUAAACUCUGGUAAUACUCUAUAACCCUAUUCCGACAAUAGAUACAUGUUAGAAGUGUUACAAAAAGUCUAUCGGUGGUGUGUUUCUCGUGUGGGUGAUAUGGCCACUCUAAGGAAGUUUGGCCGCAAGGUUUAAUAGUAAUGGAUUCAUCGGGGGAGAAAGAUUUGAUGAUUGGAAUCUCCUAUGUGAUUUCUGGUUCAAUGGUCGAUACAGACGAGUUUGACCCUUGGAUGCUAGUGGAGAGGAAGAUUAGGCGUAACCCACGUGAGCACAACAACUUUGGUAAGUCUGGAAAUGCGAAGAAAUCUUCAAGAUCAAGAUUUCAUGCUUUAACUUCUCUCAACAUGGAUGAGUUGAGAAGUGAUUUGGGGAAUGAUGAUAAUUCUAUGGGUUCGAAAAGGCAUGGGAAAGAAAUAAUAAACGUUAAUUCUGGAUUUUAUCAAGGAGAAAAAAAUAUAAUAUUAGGCUUAGAAUAGAGCAUGUGAGGAUUUUGAUUAAUGAUAAUAGUUUAGUCCAACGUGAAUAGUCCAAACCCAUUGUUUCUAAAAAGAGCUCAAGCUGUUUGGAUGGGCAAGGUAUUGGGUAGAGUAAAGGGACUGGAUAUGCACUAGGGCCUGGUGGGGAUUUCGCUGAUCUAUUGGAAGGUGGGAGUAUCUGUAUUUCUUUGAGCUAUGGUGGAAAGGUCCAAAAGAUUGUUGGGUUGAAGGAGACUGGUUUUGUAGAUCCUUCAGAUGUUCUUGGUCGAAGUGUUGGUGGGGUGUGAGACAUGGUGACCUUUGUUCCUGCAAGUUUCAGUAAUAAAAACUCCCUUCAUUUUAACCUAGCGCUUGAAAACUUGUCAUCGGUGCAUGUGGUUGUGAAUGAAGGGGUUCUUAACACUAGAAAAGACACGACUGUUAUUUUCCAAGAAAACUCAAACCUAAAUUUGACUAAGUUAAACGUCGAUAAUGAAGCAGUUAAAUCAGGAAUGUCUUCUAUUCCAAUUAAAGGAUGGAAUAGUGGAGGAAAAGUCAUGGGUUCUAAAAGAGGUUGGAAGAUUAACAAAACUCUAAAAUGGUCAAGCAAUCGGUUUAAAGCAUUGGGUAAUUCACGGGUUUCUCUUGUCGGGUCUAUGUUGUUGGCAGCUGAUCUUAUCUCCUCUGAACUAGAUGGGUAAGUCAUCAAAGAGACGGUGAUAGAAGGGAAGGAAUGAUCGAAAUGUGUUAUCAUUGGUCAACAGUAAAUGUGGUUUUUUUUUUCUAUUUUUGUUAUGAAUUUAUCUAUUCAAUCUUGGAAUGUGCAGGGGUGUGCGAAUUUGAAAUUCCUAUGAAUCUUUCAUGAGUAUAAAUCGGACAUUAUCAAUUUGCUUGAGUCGAGAAUUAAUGGUUUUAAAUUUGAUGCUAUCAUUGCCAAAUUCGGGCUGGAAAGGUCUCAUCGAGUGGAAGCGGUUGGCUUCUCCGAAGGUAUUUGGUUAAGAUGGAAGAAGUUUAUUGAUGUUGAGGUGAUUAAGUCUCAUCCCCAAUUUAUUUUUAUUUGUAUUUGUUUAUUCUUUAGUCACAACCAAUUUUUGUUGCUUUUGUGUACGGUAGUCUUGAUAGACAGAAAAUGAGGCUUCUCUGGAAGGAUUUGAGGUUAUUUAUUCCUUCAAGGCAUUUUCCUUGUAUGGCUAUUUGGGAUUUAAAUGCUAUUCUCUCAGUAGAGGAAAAGAAAGGUGGUCAAGUAGCAGGUCAGACAUGUUCAUUUUUUUGGUGAGUUUGCGGAUAGAACUAAAGUUUAUGAUUUGGGAUUUGAAGGAUCUCCUUUCGCUUGGCAUCGUGGUGCACUUUUUGAGAGGUUGGAUUGGGCUCUAGGUAAUGAUGCUUGGGUGAAGUCUUUUCUUAACUGCUUGGUAACAUAUCUCUUAAGAAUUAAAUCAGACCCAGACCUAUUCUUCUCACAUUAUAGUCAUAUUUCUUUUUACCAAAUGGUAUGCCCUUUUAGUUUUUAGUUGGGUGGUUGGAACAUCUGAAUUUUCCAGAGUUUGUUUUAGAUAAUUGGAGUUUUGAUAGUGACAUGUUAGGCACUCUAGCUCAAUUCACAGACAGACUUAGAGACUAUGAUAAUACUCUAAAAUGUCAUACUUUUAUGUGUUAAUUAUAUAUAUUUUUAGUAUGAUCCUACUAAUUUUGGAUUUUUAUGGUUUUUUAUCUUGUAGGGACUACAUGAAAGGCAAAAGGAAGUUUAAGAGUAAAAAUCAUGAAUUUAAAGACAAAAUGGGUCAGCAUGCAAAAUAGGAAAGAAGUGGCGUUGAAAAUACAAAGUGUGAAAGACUUGGGGCAAAAAUUCAAAGAAGAGAUUUAUGAACAGAAGACUUUAUUUAAAUUUGAAUUGUAUCUUUAGGAUAAUUAUUAGGAUUAUUAUGAUAUUAUUUAGAUUUAAUUUCAAAUUAUAUCUUUAUUUAUCUUUUAGAGUUUAAAUAGGAACAAACUAGGUUUUCUAUGUACUAUAACAAAGGGGAUUGAGUGACAUGAAUAUUCACUCAUCGCAUCUGUAAAAAACUCCUUCCUCCUAAGGCUCUUAGCCUUUUUGUUCCUUUUAUUUUUCAAUAAAAUUUCAUUCCAUUAAACUUAUUUCUUUUUUCCUGAAAAGCAUGAGUCACUAAACUCAUCUAGCUAAAGGUUAUCAAGACUCCUCCAAAAGAGUUCAUGAGGCUUAGAAUCCUCACUUAGCCUUCUCAACGACAAUUCAUCAUUUUUUUAUAUUACAGGACUGACGCCUCCGUCCAUGUCAUUCCAAAAGUAAUCUUUUCAUCUUGUGUAAGGAAUAACCGCUUUGUAUGUUUUGAUAAAGUUGCAUAGUCGGUUUUUUAAUUUUAUACUUCAAAAGUUGUCGAGCCCAAUAGACGAAAUAGCGUAGCAUUCGCUAUUGAAAAAUGAUGAUCUAGUGUAAGAUGGUCCUACAAAAAUAAUAGUUGGCUAGAGUCAAGUUCCUCUAGAUCGUAAGGCUAUAAUCUAAGUGGAGCUAGUGGUCAUAGGCGUCCUCUUCCACUAUAAUUGGCUUAUUUGGUCAUGAGAAUGAUCACUUAAAAGCUGAUGAUUGAACCAAAGGAGGAUAAAGAUAACCGAAGGUUGGAAUCCCUCAAAUCGAAUAAUCUCUUUCCUUAACUCUGUUUCUUUUUACAAUUGCAAUUUCAAUUUAUACAAUUUCAACUCGUCCAUACUUUUAAUUCUGUUCUUUUUUAUUUUUUUUCUCUCAAUUCAGAACUUUUUCUUGGGCACGACUAUUCCCAAGAUUUAGAGGAAUAAGAAGUUUUAGCAAUCUAGUUCCUGAGGAUUUGACCCUACUUUCAUUAUACUAUUCUUUUCAUUAUUUCUUAGGGAUAGGUUAUUUUUUGUGCCUUUAACAACACACCGGACUAGAAAAAAUGUGUUCAUGGCCAUAUCAAUACUUGUAAAUGACAGUUGAUUCAUAAGUUGGUUGGUAUUCAGCAGGCCAUGGAUCUUUCUAGUUCUAAUAGUUUGGCACAGCGUAAAUUAAAGACUUUAGAGGAGUUAGAAGAUGUUGUUUAUUAUGAAGAAUUGAUUUGGAAGCAGAACUCGAAACGUGAUUGGCUGAGCUUGAGGGAUCGUAAUACUAAGUAUUUUCAUAAACAAACGAUUCAAAGAAGAAAGUAAAAUAAUAUAAUAUUCUUGCACAAUUCAGAUGGUGAAUGAAUUUUUAAGCCCGAAGCUUUACAAUUAGAGGUUCUUGCACUCUUUUAAAAGUUGUGUCAUGAGGUUCCUGGCCCUUAGGAGUUUGGCUCCAAGUGGUUUUGUAACAGCCCUUUUUAGCUCCAAUUUUUCCUGGGCUCGCCGAGUCUUGAGUUCUUGAUCCUUGAUCUUCUUUAAAUGGCCUAUUGACGGCUUCAAUCUGCUUCACUGCAACUCAGGAAUGCGACAUCUGCUAUCUUUGAUCUGCUCCCCGUCAAAUACAGAGAUGCCAAAUCUGUUAUCUUCGAUCUGCUCCCCGUUUAAUACAGAGACGCCAAAUCUACUUCUUCAAUCUGCUCCCCAUCUAAUACAGAGAUGUCAAAUCUGUUAUCUCUGAUUUGCUCCCCGUCUAAUACAGAGAUGCCAAAUCUGUCAUUUUGGAUCUGCUUCGAUGUAACACAUGAAGGUCAGAUCUACUAUGUCUUCGAUCUGUUUCCUGUCUAAUACAGAGAUGCCAAUUCAUCUUGGAUCCACUUCAAGGAAGGUCCAAUCUGUUAUGUCUUUGAUCUGCUCCCCGUCUAAUACAGAAAUGCCAAAUCAUCUUGGAUCUGCUUCAAUGAAAGUCAGAUCUGCUGUGUCUUCGAUCUGCUCCCCGUCUAAUACAGAGAUGCCAAAUCAUCUUGGAUCUGCUUCAAUGAAGGUCAGAUCUGCGAUGUCUUCGAUCUGCUCUUCGUCGAAUAUGGAGAUGCCAAACCUGUUUCUUCGAUUUGUUCUCUGACAGUACAGAGAUACCAAAUCAUCUUAGAUCUGCUUCAACGUAAACAUGUGAAAGCCAAAUCUGCUAUGUCUUCGAUCUGCUCCUUAUAAACGCAAGGAUACCAAAUCAUCUUGGAUCUACUUCGAUGUGAAAACAUCCGAAGGUUAGAUUUGCUAUGUCUUCAAUCUGCUCUCCGUCGAAUAUGGAGAUGCCAAAUCUGUUUCUUCGAUUUGUUCUCUGACAAUACAGAGUUGUUAAAUCAUCUUAAAUCUGCUUCAACGUAAACACCUGAAGGUCAAAUCUACUAUGCUUUAGCCUGUUACCCGACUGCUUAGGGGGUUAAGGCGCAUCAAUCUUCAUUGUCCCUUGAAGGACAUAACCUGUAUAAUGUGUAUGAGUUCAUGCCUAAUGAUUAGGAUGCUAUGAUCGAAGUGAGUCAAAUGCUCCUAAUUAAACCUGUUAUAAUGCAAAAUGUUUAUGAAUAUGACCCCUAUUCCAGACGUCACCACUCAUUCUUUCGUCGAAGUUUAUCCUUAUUUCUCUCGAAGUAUCAUUCCUACUCAGCCUGUGGGUUUGUACCAUUCUUCAAAUGCUAUGACCCACCAAAAAUGUCUGUAAGAUGAUCCUCUCUUAGGAUCGAAUUGUUUGAUUUGUCCAAUCAUCAUUUUGGACUAAAGAAAGAAUUUCCUCGAGUUCUUUCAAACCUCACUUACGUGAAUUCUUCGAAAAAUUGUUCUGUUUUAGUUUCUUGUAUUAUCUAGAAAUUUCUAGAGUAACGAGCAAAACUUCAUUUGUGAAAAUUAUUUAGUUCGUUUAUCAUUAUUUUAAUGCAACAUACUUUAAGAAUAAUGGAAGAUGAAUUUAAUCUUGAGAAUAAUUAGCUUUGAAUAAAUUUGUCAAAAAUACAAAGGAAAUUAAUCUGAAAGCCUAUCUUUGAGAAGAAAAAGAAUCUAAAGAUAGCAAACAGGACAAAAGUUAGAUGCCCUAGAUAUCGCCGCUUGAGCGUUUAUAUGCCAGCUCUAUGCAGACUUUCUUGAAUUCAACAUGUGUUUAAAAGAUCCAAAGUACUUUGUUGAUGCCCCGAUAUGCAACGUACUUCACUCUUCGUUGAAUCAGAUAUAGCAAGAUUACCGUGUGCUCUUUAAAAUUUGAGCUGCCCUUUCGGGUUUUCAACUCAAAACUCCUUUGGUCACAAGGCGCCCUUUUCGAAUUUUCACCUUGGCCUCUCCAUUUUUUUUUUGAAAAACUCAAGGCGCCCUUUGCGGGUUUUCACCCUGAAUUCUUCUCUCUUUUAGACAAAGUACUUUUUUACUGAGUCUGAAUUCACUGGAUUGGGCAAACUCUUCGCAUCCAUUUUCGUUAAGAUCAAUGUACCCCUAGAGAAGGCCUUCUUCACGACAUACGACCCUUCCCAAUUUGGCAUCCAUUUUCCUCUAAAGUCCUUCUGAAUAGGGAGGAUCUUUUUCAACACAAGAUCCCCCUUAUGGAAUUCUCUUGGUCACACUUUCUUGUCGUAAGCUCGCAUCAUUCGCUUCUGAUACAUCUGACCAUGACGAAUGGCCUUUAGCCUCUUUUCUUCAAUCAAGUUCAACUGAUCAUAUCGCGAUUGUAUCCAUUCAGCUUCAUUCAACUUUAUCUCUGACAAGACUCGAAGAGACGGUAUUUCCACUUCAAUGGGUAACACUGCUUCCAUCCCAUAAACCAACGAGAAAGGAGUUGCCUCGGUAGAAGUUCUGACAGAUGUUCGGUAAGCUAAGAGUGCAAAUGGUAACUUCUCAUGCCAGUCUUUGUAGGUUUCAGUCAUUUUCUCCACUAUCUUCUUGAUGUUUUUGUUAGCAACUUCCACUGCCCCAUUCAUCUUUGGAUGAUACGGAGAAGAGUUAUUAUGCUUAAUCCUGAACUGACUGCAAACUUUUGCUAUCGUUUUGUUGUUCAAGUUCAGUGCAUUGUCUGAUAUGAUCCUUUCAAGCAUCCCAUACCGACAAAUAAUCUCUUUCUUCAAGAAUCGACUUACAGCCGACUUAGUAACAUUCGCAUAAGAAUCAGCCUCUACCCACUUCAUGAAGUAAUCAAUGACCAUAAAAAUAAAGUGAUGCCCAUUUGAAGCGUUUGGUGAUAUUGGCCCAAUGACAUCCAUGCCCCACAUAGAAAAAGGCCAUGGAGAAGUCAUAACGUGUAGAGGUGAAAAUGGUACAUGAAUCUUGUCUCCAUAAAUCUGACAUUUAUGGCAUUUUUGGCAUAGUUGAUACAAUCCCCUUCCAAAGUAGACCAAUAAUAUCCAAACCUCAUGAUUUGUCUAGCCAUCGUGAAACCAUUAGCGUGCAUCCCACAAAUACCCUCGUGAAUGUCUUCUAAGAUUAACUUAGCUUCCACGGCGUCAACAUAUCUCAACAGUACUUGGUCCUUUCUUCUUUUGUACAAGAUGUCCCCAUCCAAAACGUAGUCGCAGGCUAAUCUUCUUAAAGUUCGCUUAACAUUUUCAGUUGCCUGUUCUGGGUAUUUACGAUCUCUCACAUAUCACAAUAUAUCCUGAUACCAAGGGUUAUCAUCCUUUUCUUCUUUUUCAAUGUUACAACAGUGAGCUGGAGCCUCAAAGAUACUCAUCUGAAUAGGUCUCAUCUCCUCCUCUUUAUUCACUUUAAUCAUUGAAGCCAAGGUUGCUAGAGCAUCUUCCAUCUGGUUUUCGUCUCGUGGGAUAUAAUUGAAAGUGAUGUCAUCGAACUCCUUAAGUAACCCCGAAACUACCUUUCGAUAAUUGAUCAAUUUAGGAUCCCUUGUCUCUCAUUCACCUUUAAGCUGGUAAAUUACCAACGCAGAGUCUCUAUAAACUUCCAAGGUUCUUAUUCUUCGCUCUAUAGCCGCUCGGAGUCCCAUGAUGCACGCUUCAUACUCGGCCAUAUUGUUUGUGCAAUCAAAAUCCAACUUGCACGUGAAUGGGUAAUAAUCACCAUUUGGGGAUACCAAGACUGCCCCAAUUCCAUUUCCCACUGCAUUGGAUGCCCUAUCAAAGCUCAACUUCCAAGGAUAAUCCUCUGUAGCUGCUACACACAUCAACUAUUCAUUUGAGAAAUCAAAAUUCAAUGGCUCAUAGUCUUCUAGAGCUUUACUAGCCAGAAAUUUCGCUAUCGCACUUCCUUUUAUAGCCUUCUGGCUCACAUAAACUAUGUCAAACUCUGAAAGCAGAAUUUUCCACCUCGCCAUUCUUCCAUUCAAAGCUGUUGACUCCAUCAUAUACUUUAGAGGAUCAAGUUUUAAAAUAAGCGAAGUAGUAUGAUACAACAUAUACUGCCUCAACCUUCGAGUCGUCCAGAUUAAAGCACAGCACAAUUUCUCACUUGGCGAAUAUCUCAUCUCACACUCUGUGAAUUUCUUACUGAAGUAGUAUAUCGCCUUCUCCUUUCUUCCCGACUCGUCAUGUUGGCCAAGCACACAUCCCAUAGAAUUGCUAAACACUGAUAAGUACAGAAUUAAUGGUCUACCUGGAUUAGGUGGAGAUAACACAGGAGCAUUUAACAGGUAUUGCUUAACCUUAUCGAAAGCACUCUGGCAUUCCUCAUCCCAAGUACCUUGGUUGUGUUUUCUAAAGAGGCGAAAUAUAGUGUCACAUUUCUCAGUUAAUUGUGAAAUAAACCGAGUAAUAUAAUUCAACCUUCCAAUAAAACCCCGAACUUCUUUAUGAGUAUACGGUGAAGGUAAAUCUUGUAUGGCUCUAACUCUGUCUGAAUCAACUUCUAUUCCUUUUUCACUGACCACAAAACCUAGUAACUUCCCCGAUCUGGCUCCGAAAGUGCAUUUUGCCGGAUUAGGUUUUAACUGAAACUUCCUUAAUCUCAAGAAUAGUUUCUUUAAAACCUCAAUAUGUUUCUCCUCUGUUUGAGAUUUGGCAAUCAUAUCAUCAACAUACACAUCAAUUUCCUUGUGCAUCAUAUCGUGAAAUAAGGUUACCAUAGCCCUUUGGUAUGUUGCCAUGCAUUCUUUAGCCCAAAGGGCAUUACCUUGUAACAGAAAGUCCCCCACAAGGUUAUGAAAGUGGUUUUUUCCAUGUCUUCAAGAUGCAUCUUUAUCUGAUUGUACCCUGAAAAACCAUCCAUGAAGGAGAACAACGAAUAUCCCGCUAUGUUGUCUACCAAAGUGUAUGUGAGGCAGAGGGAAAUUAUCUUUUGGGCUAGCUUUGUUCAGAUCCCUGUAAUUAACACACAUUCAUACCUUCCUAUCUCUUAGGAACUGGUACAAUGUUAGCUACCCAUUCAGAAUACUUCACCUCUUGUAAGAAUCCUGCAUCGAACUGUUUCUUGACUUCAUCCUUUAUUUUUAAUACGAUAUCUGGUCUCAUUCUUCGCAACUUCUGUUGAACUGGUUUACAAUCCUGUCUUAUUGGAAGACGAUGCACCACAAUAUCAGUAUUUAACCCUGGCACAUCUUGAUAGGACCAUGCGAAGAUAUCCUUGAACUCACGUAACAACUCAAUCAGUCAUUGCCUUAUAUCAUCAGCAAUAUGCGUGCCAAUUUUCACCUCUUUCCCUUCCUCUAGGGCUACAUUCUCUACUGCCUCUUUCUCAUGUGGCAUGAUUUGUUUCUCCUCCUGUUUCACCAUCCUCAAAAGAUCUAGAGACACAUCACAGUCCUGGACAUCUUCAAAAUCCUGUGAUUCCUCUAAACACAUGUCUUACUCACGAGAGAAAUCAGGAUUUGUAAUAUCAAUGCUAAUGUCAUUGAUAUCUAGGGAUCUGUGAAGUAUAAAGAAUAUACAAAAAAUGAAUGAAUUUAAGAAUGAUUAUUUAUGUGCUAUGAAUGAAAGAAUAAGAAUUGCCAAAAUUAAACGAAAUAUUGGUUGAUAAAAAUGAAACAAUACUCGUUCAAAUUGAUAAAAGUUAUGUUUUAUUAAAAAAAAUAAUAGAUGAUCGUAAGCCCAUUCCACAAAUGUAAUCCUAUUACUCCUAGGCCCUAGAGUAAUAAGAAUGUUUCGAGAAUUAUUCUGAAAAAUUCCUAAAGACUACAGGAAGUUCCUCCGCAGUCCAAUUGUUCAGAGAGCUUCCCGGUUCGUAAGGGCGAAUGCCCUCAAGGUUUCCUUAAUCAGUCCCUUCUCCAUGUAUGGCAUUGAUGGAAUGAUUUUCAUUUCCAAACACCCUCAUCUCUAGGUAAGCUAUCCCUCCUGAUACAAAAGUCUAGGAUAUGUAAGGGAACGUCUUCUUUUCGCUCAGCCGUGACCCUCUUCUCUCUUUCUUUCUCUUUUUAACAUUAAUUAGGGUCUUUCUAUAAACUUGAAUGCAUAUAAUACAAUGAGAUGCUAUGAAAUGCAAAUGCGUGAAUGCAAAAAGAUGUCGAUUCUGAUUCAAUUUCAUUUUAGAAAACGUUAUUUAAGGAACAAAAAUCUUUUCAUAAAACGGAUUACAAAUACGCUUUCGCUCGUAGGCUUAGAGUCUUAACCCUAUCUAAUAACAAUGUUAACUCUUGUCCUCUGUCUGAAGAUGACUCAUACAUUAUACUCAGCGUUCUAGCUUGUACUGUCAAAUCUUGCAAGUGUUCAGCAGCCUCUCGAAUCUGAACUAAGGCUUCUCCCAUGAGAUAAUCCCUAUUUCUAACUUGAUCCUGAAGAUGGUGAAGUUCUCCCUUCCACUGUUCUUAUCUUGCCUCGAGCUACUCAAUCCGUAGCUCACAGCCCUAUAGUGCUGCUUCCAACCUUUCGAUAUCGUGUUUCAUUUCUUUGAUUUUAUUCAAGCUUGCCUUUAACUCGAUUGUAAGGUUACAACUUCGGUGAUGAUGAAGAGAUCGUCCAAGUUCAUCCACCUUAGUUUUUAAUCCUUGAUUUUCCUUCUCUAGGGCCUAAUUACGCGACUGCAUCUCUUGGAAUUUCUUCUCCCAAUACUCGGCUUUAGCUCUUUCUUCCUGAAUCUCUUGUUGCCACUGCUCUGGAGAUAUCCCUAAUCUGACCCUUUUCAACGUUACCUGGGUCUUUUUGUAGCACGUCUUUAAAUAAUCUCGAUCUUCCUCGAUCUUUAUCUUUUCCUUUUUCACCUUCUCGACUUCCAUAUUUUGAACAUCGACGUCGAGACUUAAGCACAUUUUUCCCCUUCGAGCUUCUCAAUCCUCUUUUCAAUCUUUGAAUUAUUUCUCUCGAACUCUUGCUUCAUAACCUCUAACUCUGAUGGAAUCACUCGUAAGCUCUCCUCUAAUGAUCGAGCCACUCCCAAAAUUGGCCUAAGGAUAUUAUCAUUGACUCUCCUACUAAACCACCUUUUAUACUCAAGGAUUGAUGUCGAGCCUUCGGUCAAGAUCUUCAUACAGAAAGGCUUCUUCCAAGCCUCAGAAAUCUCUCGCAUCUUCUUCUUAUAGUGAUCUCCUUUAUAAGAGAAAUCACUUUGAGCUAGACCCUGUGUAACCGGUAUGAACUACCUCGCUUUAUAUUGCCUUAGAACAAGCAAUGGUGCAUAUCCAACAACUCCCCAAAUUCUUGGCAAAGGGACCCAAUCAAAACUGCCACAGCGGUAAAGGACUUCACUAGGAACCAACCAAGGAGCCUUCCACAUAACAUCUUCCUCUCGAAAAUUCUAAAGAAUGUCUAUCCACAUCUCCUCUGAAAUGUCAUCUCUCCUCAGCAUGUCUACUGCUUCUUUUAAGGGAGAAUAACCCUCAAAGAAUACUCGGCAAAGAACCUUAUCAAGCUUCUAAAAAUGACUGUGGAACCAAACUAACAGCAACUGUGCACAUCUAAUGAAUCUACCUUCGUCGGCUCUCCGACAUGCACUCAAAGAUCUAAAUGUCUCAGCUAGGAUUGCUGGUAUCAGUGUAUUCUGCUUACCAACACGAUCGAACAAAUCCGCAACUGCUUCAUCUAUAUGCCCCAACGCCUUUGAGAAAAUCACCAUGCCGUAAAUACUCAAAGCCAGGACGUCGACCCUUUUUCUUUAUGUCUGGAUAUGUCGAUAUCAAAUCCCUCAAAACGGCCCAUGGAACGCACUUACUAUCACCCUUUUGCUGUAUACGAGCUACAGCCUACUGCUCACUCAUCCUAGUAAUCAUCACCAACUUCUUUGCAAAAGUUAGAAGACUAGCAGGCCUAACAUAAGCCUUGUGACCCUGAAUCCUCGGGCAACUUAGUAAAGUCGUAUACUCCUCCAAAGUAGGUGCAAGAUCAACAUCACCAAAUGUAAAGCAACUAUAAGCAGGGUUCCAGAACUGUACCAUAGCUCGAAACAAGUGCCUAUCUACUUUGACGUAUAGCAAAUAGGGAAGGUCUCCAUAAUUCUGAUAGAAAAGCUGCUUAGCCUCGUCAUCCCAUUGGGCCCAAAUGUUUCUCAGCUCCUAAAACUCAUUCUGCGUCGAAUUAAUACGGGUGAAGUCCCAUAACUCUGACGUAUAUCCUUCGGUGACACUAUCUCCUUUCUCUAACUGGGUUUUCUCUGACCAGGUACAGACAGAAGCAUUGUCCUCCACUCUAUCAAGGUAUUCAUUCCUCAUUACAAAACUUUCUAAUCUAGAAAUUGAGCCGUGAAUCGACACCUUUAAAUGCCAAAUGACAUGCAAUGACAGCAAAAUAAAAAUAAGUCAGUAUCAUAAAAAAAUGAUAAACAAGUACUUACAAGGGUAGCUUACUAAAGGCUAUCAUUAUCUUUCCUAAACUCUUUAAAGUUCACUAUAUGAGUUUUAACUCUAAAGCCAAGGUACCUGAACCAGCAGAUUCCUUGGUCUUCACCCAUUAUAGGCUCAUAUAGACCAAGUUCAGUUCAGGGGGACACGUUUCCCUAUGGCCAUACGGAGAUGAAAAUCUCACGAAGACAUAGGUACAAUAUUCCGGAAGCAAUCCACUAGCUCAUCGAAGGUGAAAACCUUACGAAAGCGUAGCUUCUCACUCCCACUUAAGGGUGUGACCACAACGGUCAUGCAAAUGCAAUGUACAGCAAUAAGGUAACAAACAUAUGCAGCAAACACAUGUAAAAAGGAUCCAAUUUUAAAUUUAAAAAACUUCCGACAUUAAGACAGAAAAUACUCAAUUUCUUGGCUUUACUCUCUUAAUUCCCCAGCGGAGUCGCCAAGCUGUCGAAACCAUUUUUUUAAAGGGAUGUUUGAAAAAUGGGGAUCGAUUUUUGAAAAACGAAAACGGAAGUCGCCACCAACCUUUUUAGGUGUGAUUGGAUCAUCUUAUAAAACGUUUUGGUCUACGAAAAUUAAGAAAACAGGUUCAGGAGUCGGUUACGUAUGAGGAAGGAUUAGCACCCUCGCAACGCUCAAAAUUGGUACCAAAUUGAAUAGUUUUCUGUCUUAAUGUCAAAAAUUUGAAAGUAUUUAAAAAUAUGAUCCCUUUUUUAAAACCGAAAUUAUUUAAGUUGAAAAAUCGAGAUUCCUUAGCUCUGAAAGAAUACAAACAUCACAUCUAGCAUUAUAGGACACGAUAUUCUUAAACUCUCGUAACUGAAAUCAUCUCGUGAUUUACAAAAUCUAUUUAGAAGGAUACUUUAGGCAUUUAGACAAACAAGAAAUCGCAACCCAGCAUAUUAGGGCUCUAUUUCCCGAAUUCCUAAAUACGAAAAACAUUGCCUCAUUUUAGAAAAACUUUUGGAUAAAAUAUGACAAUUAAAUUAAAUAUAUUUUUUUUAAAAUAAUGAUUUGAGUAAAAUUUUAAAAAAUAAUUUACUAAGAGUAAUACUAAAAAAAAUUUUUAAAAAAUGAAAGAGUUUGAUAUGAUACUAAAAUUAUUAAAAAAUUAAAAUAUAUAAAAAAAAUCAGGGAACAUGGAUUAAAUCAAAAUAAAAAGGGUUGAAAAACGAAGAUGAACAAAGAAUGAAAUAAGAACAUACCGUAGAAAAUAAGAACGUAAGAAGGAGAGAAAUUUGAGUGAAAGCUCUCAAAAAUUUUUAUUAUUUCCCAAAACUCCAGUGUGUUUACAAUAAAGGGAGAGGCCUCUAUUUAUAGUUGAACCUCCUCAAAUCCAACGGUACAGAUCAAUUACAUCAACAGUUAAGAUUAAAAGGUAUCUACAAAUUAAAUCUCUAAAAUUACAAAAUCAUAUCUUCUAAGAUUGCAUAUCAUAUCUAAGAUUGCAAUCAUAUCUAAGAUUACAUAUCAUUGAAGAUUAUAUUUCCAUAUGAGUCAAGCUUGUAGAUGGACCUUAAAUCUUUUCAAGUAAUGGGCCAUUCCGAUCGAGCCAAAUUAUAUUUGUAAUUUUGGACUGAACUUGGACUUCAUAUUUUUUUGGGUUUAUUAUUUUUGUUUUUGGACUUAUUUCUGGGCCCGAGCAAAAUUGAGUGUCUACACGUAUUAUAUUUUUUAUAUAAAAAUUUAAAACAUAAUACAUCAAAAACACUAAAAAUAUUAAAAUAAAUGUUUCACAAUAAUUUGAAAAUAAAUUUAAAAAAGUCUUUAAACUUAACUAACACUAAGAUAAGUGCAACUUAACAAGUAAAUGCCUCUAAAAUAAUAGCAAAAUUAAAAAUAAAACAAGAGUUAUACAAUAUCCAAAAAAAAUAGUAACAACAUAAUAAUGAAUGCAACAAAACAAUGAGAAAACAACAGCAAAACAACAAUUUUUUUUUGCAAAUUUGGGCCGGGCUAGAGCAAAAAAUCCUUACCCAAGACUCGGCCCAUUUUCUAAAUGGGCCUUAUUUUUUUGCACUAACUCAUUUUUAGGAUUUAUAUUUUUGUUCAAACCCUCUCACUUUUUAAAUGACCUAACCCAUGGAGAGCUUUAGUUGAAACUUUCACAAAUGACUUCCCUUCUUAUAAGAUCGAGCAUUUUGAAUAAGAUGACAACACUUUUGCAUUUCCUUUUCCCCUUCUUACGAAUACGUUAAAUGUUGUUAUUGACGUAUUCUUAAUUUCUUAUCCGAUUCACCAUGUCUCAUAGUUUUUGGGUUAAAAAUUUAAAAAUGUUUACUUAGACCUAUUCAUGAAUCAGGUCAUGCUCGAGUCCUAAAAGUUUUCAAGUCCAAACCCAUUUUUGCUUGGCCCACCUAAAAAAUCCAUUUCAUUGUUCAAAAAUUAAUAAAAUAUUAUAAAUAUGUAUUUUUAUUUUAUAAUUAAAUUAAAUUUUAAAAAAAUAUUUUUAUCAUUUAAAUUAAAUUUGAGUCAGUCCAAUCCUAAAUACAAAAAGCCUUGUACAAGUCGGGUUCAACUACUACAUGGACAUGUCUAUUAAUUUACUUUAUGAAUUGUAACAAGGUCUCUCCAAAUUUUGUGCUAUUAGCUUGGUUCAUAUUAAAUCAAAUUUGAAUGAUUUUUUUAUUUUUAAUUAGAUUAAUUAUAUAUAAAAAAUAUUUUUAUGUAAAUUUAAUUAUAAAGUAUAUAAAAUAUUAGAAUAAAAUAAUUUGUAAAUAAUGAUAAAAACUCUGAAUCGACCCGAUUUGAGUUGGGCUUAGACAAAGUUUUUUUAUGUCUCAUACUGUGCCAACUUGAACUCAAUUUAAAUAAUAAUAAAUAUUUUAAAUUAAAUCUAGUUACAAAAUAUUAAUAUAAAAAUAUUUUUAAUAUUUUAUUUUUUUAACGGUGAAAUGAAAUUUUGGUAAUGGUGGGCUGAAAAUAGUUUUGGGCUUGAAUGUCUUUGUAACUUGAGCAAUGAGUCGGCUUGGCUCAACCAAUAAAUAAAUCUAAGUAAAUAACAUCAUAUUUUGAAUUUUUUUUAAAAUUUUUAAAUUUUUUCAUAUAUUUUAAAAUAAUUUUUACUUUUAAAAAUUUAAGGAGCUUUUAAUUUUUCAUAAUUUUUUAUAUUUUUAUUGAAAAUACAUAAAAAAAUUUAAUUUUAAAUUUAUUAAAGAGAAGGGACCUAAUUAGCAUAAAAUUGUAAAUAAUGAGGGCUGCAAAAGUUAUUUUAUUUUAUUUAUAAUAGUCAAAUCAAUCAUUUUAAUGGAAAAAUUGGCAGAGAAGUCAAUAUUUUUAAAUUAAAAAAUAUAAAGAUUAAAAUUUAAAUUUAAGAAUAAUAUAGAGACUUUUGAGAUAUUUAAAACUUUAAAAAAUUAAAGCAAAUGAUAAUAGUUUAAUAAACAUUUUUUAAAAAUUUCUUAACUAUAUUAUUGUUUGUGUGAAAUUACAAAUUUUUUAAAAAUAUAUAAUAAAUAACUUAAUUAACACAUUGCAAUGUAUAGGUGAAAGAAACUCACCAUUGGCACGGAGAAUUAGAUUAGGUUUUCAAAAUUGAGUAAAAAAUUUGCAUAGCAUGAUGCGACCAAAAUCUCAAAGAAAAUCGAGUAAAAAGCGAAGGCCGCGGAUGUUGACACAUUUCCUCAAACCAAUUGGCCAUGAAUGUGUCAAUGAAGGUUAAUUGGGACCUUUACCUCACCAUUAAAUUGAAGUCCUUUAACUAGGUGAACUCCAGCUGUCUCUCUGCAAACUCACAACUCUGGAUUUACCUGAAGGGUGCUGACACAAACAGGAAAUAAAUUUUUAGUUAAUAUCAAUUUGGACAACCAUGGAAGGAAAAGAGUUAAACAGCUACGGUUAUUCCCAUUUACGCAAAGGGUUCAAGUCGAACACAACAAAGCUUGAAGUUUGGACGCAUUGGGUUCCGUUUAGAUUAAAAACAUCAACCUUUUCGAACACACCUAAAUUUAUUUUAACUUAUUACUUAGCCCAAGAAGGUUGAGUAUGGUUUACGCAAAAUAGCUCGUCCUUAUUCUUUUCCCCCCUUUAACAACCCUUAUUCUAUAAAGAAGUCACACUUUCCCCCCUCAAAUACCCGCCUCUCUCACACGCAUAACAUACAACUUUUCUUUUUCUCUUUUCUUGUUCUUGUUCUUGUUCCCCUUGUUGAUAUUCUCUGUUAACUUUGAGGGACUAGUAUAAGAAGGCAAUGUGGGAUGGUGGGGUUGUAGGCUCGAUUUGGAGUUUGAAGUCUGCCUUCCUUCCGGUACCCCAACUCUUGUUGUUGGUUUUCAGGUGCUUUUGGGACUAAUUGGUUGCCUGUUUUUGAGGAUGAUGGAGAAGCUUAAUUUUGUAAACAACGGUGUGCUUAGAUUGCCUCCUGGAUUCCGUUUCCAUCCUACUGAUGAAGAGUUAGUCGUUCAGUACUUGAGAAGAAAGGUGCUUGCUUGGCCCUUACCUGCCUCUAUCAUACCCGAAGUUGAUGUUUGCAAAGCAGAUCCUUGGGACUUGCCAGGUUGGUUACCUUAAUUACACUUUCACACCUCACUCUUUCAAAGUUGCUUCCUUCUACUAUAUACCAUUAUAAAAAGCAAGCAGCUUGUUCUCGGUUGUUCUAUAGCUCUGGAAUUGACUUGUUGUAUCAAUUAUGGAAACAGCCUUCUGUAAUAGCUCUGAAUGUAACUAAUGACUGUUAAACAAUUAGAAGCCUUUAGGACAAAAUUAAAGACAUAAUUAGAUGGCCUGAUACAUUGGGGUCUAUGUUGUGUGUAUUAUCAAUCAGGUGAUUUGGAGCAAGAGAGGUACUUCUUUAGCACAAGAGAAGCCAAGUAUCCCAAUGGGAACAGGUCCAACAGAGCCACGUUUUCAGGAUAUUGGAAAGCCACAGGAAUUGACAAACAAAUUGUAAGUUGUAGGGGCAACCAAGUAGUGGGUAUGAAGAAAACUCUUGUUUUCUAUAGAGGAAAGCCCCCACAGGGGACUAGGACCGACUGGAUCAUGCAUGAAUAUCGCCUUGUUACCGCUGACACCUGCAAUGCCCCACAUAAGAAGAACCAAACUCAGGUCAAUUUUGGGUCUUUGCUCUUUACUGCCUGUACCUAUAGUUGUGAGCAUUUUUCAUAAGUUAAACAUCUCAUCCCAACCACAUUUCAGAACCUCUGGAGUCGGGGAAAUGGCAGUACAUUGUUGUUUUAAUGAUGCUAUGUUUGUUGGUCAGUCAAAUUAAUGAUUUGUAUUAAAGCCUAUGUAUGCAGAACCAUGUGGUGGCAGUGGAAAAUUGGGUGCUGUGCCGCAUAUUUUUGACGAAAAGAAGUGGUGGUGCUACUAAAAACGAGGAAGACAGUCUGCAAUCUAGCAACGAGAAGGGAGUUGGUAAAGCAAGGAGAAAGAGCCCUGUUUUCUAUGAAUUCCUGAGCAAGGAGAGGACGAACCUAAAUCUUGCCCCAGCAUCCUCCUCAUCUUGCUCCAGUGGGAUCACACAGGUUUCAAAUAAUGACACGGAUGACCACGAAGAAAGCAGUAGUUGCAAUAGUUUUCCUUAUUUCAGAAGAAAACCUUAAAAGCCGCAUUUCACAAGUAC
RNAcentral lists this long non-coding RNA (24314 nucleotides) under Gossypium barbadense (sea-island cotton). RNAcentral describes it as "long non-coding RNA (GBAR_LNC002664)". Lineage: Eukaryota; Viridiplantae; Streptophyta; Magnoliopsida; Malvales; Malvaceae. The record is from RNAcentral.